GCCAACCAUUCCCUCAGUUGAGGAGAGUUUCCUGGAUCAUCCAGGUGCUCCCAAAGUCAUCACAGGGGUCCCCGUGAGUAGAAGACGGAAGCAGGAAAGAGUCACCAUCAGGUGACAUGGGAAUGACUCAACCUGCCAUUGCUGGUUUUGAAGAUCCAGGGAGGGGCCACUGUCAAGGAAUGAAGCAGUUUCUAGAAGCCUGAAAAGCCAAGAGCACAGAUUCACCCUCGAGGCCCCAGAAGGAAGCAGUCCUGCCAACACCUUGACCCUCGCUCAGGGAGACCCGGUUUGGACUUCCACCCUCUGGAACUGUGAGAUGAUACAUUUGUGUUGUGUUAAGCCACUAAGUCUGUGGGAAUCUGUUAUUGCAGUGACAGGAAAUCAAUAAGAAGAGAAGGCCCCAAAUCCGUAGAUGUGGGGAGCCAGGGCAACACGCCAAGGCUGAACGCUGGCUGCAGGGCCCACCUUGGGGAAACUUGGGGGAGCUACUCCUCCCUCACGGCAGCCAUGGCAUUAGGGGGAGCUGUCAGUCACUGGGCUUGGAGCACACAGCUACACUUCUGGAGGACUUCUGGGCCACAAAUUAGAAUAUGAAGAGACAGAAGAAAAUAGACUCUCAACACCACAGAAAAAAAGCUUUCUUAUGUGAGUAUCCAUUUUGUUUGCCUGAUCUCAGAAGAUGGAGUUGAUAAGGUCUUUGCCCAGCGUCCAGGAAGAAUGAGGUCACUCGGACUUG
RNAcentral lists this long non-coding RNA (736 nucleotides) under Pan troglodytes (chimpanzee). RNAcentral describes it as "long non-coding RNA NONPTRT002394". The record is from RNAcentral. Lineage: Eukaryota; Metazoa; Chordata; Mammalia; Primates; Hominidae.